GAUGAACGCUGGCGGCGUGCCUAAUACAUGCAAGUCGAGCGAACGGACGAGAAGCUUGCUUCUCUGAUGUUAGCGGCGGACGGGUGAGUAACACGUGGAUAACCUACCUAUAAGACUGGGAUAACUUCGGGAAACCGUAGCUAAUACCGGAUAAUAUUUUGAACCGCAUGGUUCAAAAGUGAAAGACGGUCUUGCUGUCACUUAUAGAUGGAUCCGCGCUGCAUUAGCUAGUUGGUAAGGUAACGGCUUACCAAGGCAACGAUGCAUAGCCGACCUGAGAGGGUGAUCGGCCACACUGGAACUGAGACCCGGUCCAGAUUCCUACGGGAGGCAGCAGUAGGGAAUCUUCCGCAAUGGGCGAAAGCCUGACGGAGCAACGCCGCGUGAGUGAUGAAGGUCUUCGGAUCGUAAAACUCUGUUAUUAGGGAAGAACAUAUGUGUAAGUAACUGUGCACAUCUUGACGGUACCUAAUCAGAAAGCCACGGCUAACUACGUG
Molecule: ribosomal RNA, 497 nt
Filed under: uncultured bacterium
Lineage: Bacteria
Description: partial 16S ribosomal RNA
Rfam family: Bacterial small subunit ribosomal RNA
Source: RNAcentral